RNAcentral lists this ribosomal RNA (274 nucleotides) under uncultured bacterium. RNAcentral's name for it is "partial 16S ribosomal RNA". It matches the Rfam family "Bacterial small subunit ribosomal RNA", at positions 523 to 796 of the family's 1533-position model. The record is from RNAcentral.
AUACGUAGGUCCCGAACGUUGCGCGAAAUUACUGGGCGUAAAGGGUCCGUAGGCGGUCUGGUAAGUGGAAGGUGAAAGCCUGGGGCUCAACUCCAGAAUUGCCUUCCAAACUGCCGGACUUGAGGCAGGGAGAGGUCGGCGGAAUUCCCGGUGUAGUGGUGAAAUGCGUAGAUAUCGGGAGGAACACCAGUGGCGAAGGCGGCCGACUGGAACUGUCCUGACGCUGAGGGACGAAAGCCAGGGGAGCGAACCGGAUUAGGUACCCGUGUAGUCC